Molecule: ribosomal RNA, 515 nt
Filed under: Alternaria alternata
Lineage: Eukaryota; Fungi; Ascomycota; Dothideomycetes; Pleosporales; Pleosporaceae
Description: eukaryotic LSU rRNA
Rfam family: 5.8S ribosomal RNA (bases 141-294)
Source: RNAcentral
CUCUCGGGGUUACAGCCUUGCUGAAUUAUUCACCCUUGUCUUUUGCGUACUUCUUGUUUCCUUGGUGGGUUCGCCCACCACUAGGACAAACAUAAACCUUUUGUAAUUGCAAUCAGCGUCAGUAACAAAUUAAUAAUUACAACUUUCAACAACGGAUCUCUUGGUUCUGGCAUCGAUGAAGAACGCAGCGAAAUGCGAUAAGUAGUGUGAAUUGCAGAAUUCAGUGAAUCAUCGAAUCUUUGAACGCACAUUGCGCCCUUUGGUAUUCCAAAGGGCAUGCCUGUUCGAGCGUCAUUUGUACCCUCAAGCUUUGCUUGGUGUUGGGCGUCUUGUCUCUAGCUUUGCUGGAGACUCGCCUUAAAGUAAUUGGCAGCCGGCCUACUGGUUUCGGAGCGCAGCACAAGUCGCACUCUCUAUCAGCAAAGGUCUAGCAUCCAUUAAGCCUUUUUUUCAACUUUUGACCUCGGAUCAGGUAGGGAUACCCGCUGAACUUAAGCAUAUCAAUAAGCGGAGGA